Molecule: ribosomal RNA, 253 nt
Filed under: uncultured bacterium
Lineage: Bacteria
Description: partial 16S ribosomal RNA
Rfam family: Bacterial small subunit ribosomal RNA
Source: RNAcentral
UACGGAGGGGGCUAGCGUUGUUCGGAAUUACUGGGCGUAAAGCGCACGUAGGCGGCUUUGCAAGUUAGAGGUGAAAGCCCGGGGCUCAACUCCGGAAUUGCCUUUAAAACUGCAUCGCUAGAAUUGUGGAGAGGUAAGUGGAAUUCCGAGUGUAGAGGUGAAAUGCGCAGAUAUCGGGAGGAACACCAAUGGCGAAAGCGGCUCCCUGGUCCAGCACCGACGUUCAGGCACGAAAGCGUGGGGAGCAAACAGG